GGGGAAUAUUGCGCAAUGGGCGAAAGCCUGACGCAGCGACGCCGCGUGAGGGAUGAAGGUUCUCGGAUCGUAAACCUCUGUCAGAAGGGAAGAAACCGCACCGUGCUAAUCAGCGGUGCAUUGACGGUACCUUCAAAGGAAGCACCGGCUAACUCCGUGCCAGCAGCCGCGGUAAUACGGAGGGUGCAAGCGUUAAUCGGAAUUACUGGGCGUAAAGCGCACGUAGGCUGCUUUGUAAGUCAGGGGUGAAAUCCCACGGCUCAACCGUGGAAACGGCCUUGAUUAGGCCUAGCCUGGAAUCCGGGGAGGGGUGGGGAAAUUCCAGGGGUGGGGGUGAAAUCGGUAGAAAUCUGGGGAAACAUCGGUGGCGAAGGCGGCCACCUGGACGGGUAUUGACGCUGGGGGGCAAAGGCGUGGGAGCAAACA
This 426-nucleotide ribosomal RNA is filed under the name uncultured Desulfovibrionaceae bacterium. RNAcentral's name for it is "bacterial SSU rRNA". It matches the Rfam family "Bacterial small subunit ribosomal RNA", at positions 356 to 774 of the family's 1533-position model. Lineage: Bacteria; Pseudomonadati; Thermodesulfobacteriota; Desulfovibrionia; Desulfovibrionales; Desulfovibrionaceae. The record is from RNAcentral.